Chelonia mydas (Green sea turtle) is the source of this 3139-nucleotide long non-coding RNA. RefSeq lists it as uncharacterized. NCBI's taxonomy places the organism in Eukaryota, Metazoa, Chordata, Testudines, Cheloniidae. The transcript is spliced from 3 exons. The record is from RefSeq and is a predicted model, not a curated record.
GUCUGGAAAAGUGAGUGGGAAAUCUCACAUGAACAGCCUGUCUCAUGAUAUUUCAGCACUUCCACUUCUGGCCCUGGACAGAACCAGGAAGUGCAGAGGCGUGCUCAAGUGAAAAAUACUGGAAAAAAUGUUAUAAGAACACUUCCCAACUUGCAAAAACAUUUGGUUACAUUUGAAUUUUAGGCACAGUUAUGGGUUAGUUCUUAUAAUGUCUGAACUCAUUUAUUCAUCCCUACUGAAAAUGUCACAAGUUCAGAACUUUGCAAAACGCUUAUCCACAAGGAAGGUUUAGAAAAACAAUGUUCCACCAUCAAGGUAACAAACUUGGCACAGAAGAAAGGUAGACAGUUGCUAGUGGAAAUGAAGAUAUAAAACAAUGAAAUAUAUCUGGUAGUCAUGAGAGCAACAUAAACUUAAGCACAGGAGGAUUCAAUUUCCAGGGCACUUAGGUUCUUUUGGAAGACAUAGGUUUUGAAAGAUCCAUAGUAUUUGGGUAAACUAAGUAUGAACAGAGGGGUCCCACCAAUGUACUGGUGAAAGGUUACUGAGCUGCAAGGGAGUGUCUGGGUUGACAGCCAAAGGAAGGGGCAGACACAGAAAUCUAUACUGAAACCAGCAUAAAGGAAAAAGAUGUGCCUAACCAGGCAGAUGGCUGAACUGAAAGGAAAUAAUAUGAUGCAGUGAAACGUGUACCAUGAAGCCAGAAAGGGGUUGGGGGGAGGGGAGAGAAGAAAAUAAAAUCAAGAGAAAUCAACAAAAAAGGAAGUUGCCUGGAGGACGUUUUUUAAGUUGUGGCCAUAAAACAUCAGGUGACGAGAACAGCUAAAGAUUUAGGGGAAAGAAAGAAAGAAAGAAAGAAAGAAAGAAAGAAAGAAAGAAAGAAAGAAAGAAAGAAAGAAAGAAAGAAAGAAAGAAAGAAAGAAAGAGUUGGAGAACAUAUAGAAGAGUGAACAGGAAUUUAAGAUAAAUGUUAGACAAAAAUGAACAAUAAAAGAGGCUUGGAGAUCUAUUCUAGAAAAAAGCAAGAAGCUUCUUGAGGCAUAAAAUAUGCCGAAGGAAACCAGGACCCAGCCAAAACAGGUGUCAAUGACCACGCGAUGGGCAAGACAGUGGAAAAUCAGGCUCAAUACUCUCAGCAUGGUCCAGUGGUCAGUGGCUUCAUAUUACACUUUGAAUCAGCAGUAAGUUUCCUGGACCAAUAGUGAAUUUUCACUUCAUGACUUGCCUAACAGAGAGAGAUGCCAGUGCUCACAGGAAGGAAGGAGAGCGCCAUCACUGAGUGGAAUUACCGAGAUCAAGCUUCCAGAGAUAUUACUAUGCUAUGAGCCCUUCUGUCAAACUGUUCUGCCUUACUCUACCCUUAACUAACAUCUUUGGCACCACUGAUUAGUCAAGUUUCCACGCUUAUUCUUUUCAAUUUUAAAAUAUGACUCAAGAUGGAAAUUAAAGCUUUUUUUUUUUUUUUGUUAAACUCAAAAUGUCAACACAGGUAAAUCUCCUCCCUGGCUCUAAUAAUAGGGAAACAGCAUUGCACAGUGAGGCCAAACCUGAGGCAAAUUAGCUUCUUGUUCUUUUCAUUGAUUGUAAAGGGGAGAAUGCUACUUGAGCAUCUGAGAAGACAAGCAAUAAAAUGUAUUUCUCUUGCAGGCAAAUCUUAGAACAGAUAGCAAAACAAUCUCAGUCUCUUGCUAAAGGCAUACUCACUAAUUGAAACAGAAAUAAAAUGAGGAAUGGGAAAGAGAUAAAGCUACAAAGUUAUGUCUCACUCCAAUUAGUAGGUAGGGAGUUAAAAAAAACACAAUCAAGUUAAAGACAUUCUACAAGUUUCAGCAUUGAAAACUGGAAAGGAAAAACAAGCUGUAAAAUCGCAGGCACCUGGUCUUGAAAGCACAAUCUAGAGCAUUUUCACUGAAGUAAUAUUUUACAACUGCAUACAGUCCAGUGACAAAUCAAACUAAAACAGCAAGAUCAACUGACGAACAUUUCCCCUGUUGCAAUUAAGCAUAGAGAUCAGAGAUUAUAAAAGGCCAAGGGGGGAGUCCAUCCCUUUUGCCAGUACAGGAUUGUUCCAGAUAGGUCACAAGAUCCUCAGCUGGGGCCAUGAUCCACUCAGUGCAGCUGAGGAAGGAGUGGGCAAAGGUGACUUAAAGUCAAUUUCAAACAGCCUCAGGUGGUUCUAAAUUAUUCCCAAUUGCAACAGCUAGACAUUACCCAAGCACAACAAUGUUCUGAUCAUGCAGCCUGUCCCCAAUGACUGCAAGAGAGGGUGGUGGUAUAGUGCUAGAAUAGUUUGAUGCCAUUCAAGGAUUCCCACAAUGCUGGGGGAAUCCCCAAGGGGCUGGAGCCACUGAGCCUCCAGCUGAUUUAUGCUGUUUAGAGGUACAAAGGAGGAGGGUCUGGCCCACUACAUUUGCAGGCGCCUUAUCUAGUCUAGUUUUAAAUGUCUCCAGAUAUUUGGCUUCCACUGCUUCCAUUAGCCUGUCCGACAGUGUAACAGAUUUCACCAUUUGGAAGUGUACAUUUAGCUUCAUUUGUCUUCUAUCACCCAAUACAAAGGCUAAUCAUCCAUGGGAUUUACACUCCUCAUAUUUUUAAGGACAGUUAUAGCCUACCCCCCACUCCCUUAUGUCCUGUUCAGUCAAACUAUUACUAUUAGUUUCUUUUGACCGUUCCUAACAAAUCACUCCCUUUGCCCCCUUGAUAACUUUUGUUGCUGUUCUCUGAAUAACUGCCAGUUUAUAUAUUUCUAGCAUUUUGGGGCCCACAACUGCAUGCAGUAUUCUAGGUGCUUUCUCACCAGAGCCAAGUAGAGAGGAACUAUUAUCUUCCUGCUCUGUGUUGCAAAGCCUCUGGGUAUGCAGCUCAAAAUUGCAUUGACUUUUUUUGCUCUCAUACUGCACUGCAAUCUCAUUUCUAACACUGCUGUCUCUCCUAGUUUCCCAUUCUAAUAGCAUAUUAAAAUUGAUACAGAAACCAUGUCUCAUUUUUAUGUAAUUUUUUAUAUUGCUACUAUUUGGUUUUUGUAUUAAACCACCAAAACUGCAAGGCUGAUAUUUUAAAUAAGAUUGUUCUGAUGUUCCCUAAUGGCCAGGUAUAUGUAUACUCACCAUUUAGAAAUAAAAUAAUAACUAAUUCAUAC